RNAcentral lists this transfer-messenger RNA (434 nucleotides) under Amoebophilaceae. RNAcentral describes it as "Cardinium sp019744995 Standard tmRNA". It matches the Rfam family "transfer-messenger RNA". Rfam says of the family: Bacterial tmRNA, also known as 10Sa RNA or SsrA, is named for its dual tRNA and mRNA-like properties. Its role is to liberate the mRNA from a stalled ribosome. RNAcentral also lists the same sequence under 1 other name. The record is from RNAcentral. Lineage: Bacteria; Pseudomonadati; Bacteroidota; Cytophagia; Cytophagales.
GGGGUUGACUGGAAUUGACGGGAAGAUUAAAUCUAAUGUAAGCAUGCGAGGUGUUGUAAGUAUUACCUCUAACAUAAAACUUACAUAGUGAAUAACUGGCAACUUAGUAGCUGUUAUCAACUCUCGCCGUCGCAUGUAUAGUCUCUUAGAUUCAGAAGAAGAAGAGGACGAUGAUAUGCGUUUGGCUGCUUAAUCGAUAGAUUAAGGAGGGUUUGUCUCUCUACUCUUUGUUCUGUGGGGGUAGUAAGAGGCAUCGGUACAUAGAACUGGUGCAACUAGAUGCGUGAUAGAAGCAUGAGAACAAACUGCGCAUAAGGAUAACAUUAGGUGUGUUACUGACCUUAGUUAUCCUGACAAUAAAUAGCAACUAAGCAUGUAGAAAGCGUUUUGGUUUUCUUGUUCGGACGAGGGUUCGACUCCCUCCAACUCCACUU